Long non-coding RNA from Labeo rohita (rohu), 781 nucleotides. RefSeq lists it as uncharacterized. The record is from RefSeq and is a predicted model, not a curated record. Lineage: Eukaryota; Metazoa; Chordata; Actinopteri; Cypriniformes; Cyprinidae. The transcript has 3 exons.
AUACGUGCGUGAUAAUUACAUGCAAUUUAUCGUGCAGCCCUACUCUCCCCUAUGCCUAAAUCAUACACAAAAUCAUUUUGCUGUGUUUCCCACAGGAUUUUUUUGAGACUAUGGAGGAUAGCUGGACCUUGGUCUGCCUGGGGGAUCUGGGGCCAUGGCCUUGUAUUCAAAGGAAAGGUGAAAAAUGAGGAAGUCUGGGAACCACCGAAGAAGGCAGCCGUGAGGGACGGAAGUAUUCAUCAGAACGUGCCAGAGAACGAUAUUGGCAGUACAGGCUCAGGAUGGCGAAGAACAUAUUUAACAUCAGAGUACUCGGGUACUAUGGUCCUUUGGUAAUGACAAUAUUGUUUAGGUUUUGCUUUUGAUAGUGAAGCAGUAUUGAAGCACAUCACCAUCAGAUAUUUGUAGCAAGUGUUUCAUACACAGGACACUCAGGAAACAAAUUAACUUAAAGUAAUAAAGAAGUCACUACUGAAUUGUUUCCUUUCUUUUUAUCAGUGUCUUUUUUAUACCAGAUUAUAGGGAGUUGUCAAUGAGUAUUGAUUAAUUAUUGAUCAUUUUUACAGAUAAAAUCGUUAACUAUACCCAUCAGUAAUGAGAAACUUUUCAGUAAAAUUAAAACAAUUCAGUAAAAUUUACAUGAUUUAUGUAUUGAUGUUCAAUUAUCUGUGCUCAUGACUUGGUAACACUUUGCAUGGUUAAAGAAUAGGUGUAAUGUUCAAAAUGUAUUGGCUUAGUGUUUGUAGAAAUAACACUGAAUAAAUGCUGAUUAAUAAAUGAA